RNAcentral lists this small RNA (101 nucleotides) under Lactococcus lactis. RNAcentral describes it as "RNA (101-MER) from Lactococcus lactis (PDB 6CC3, chain B)". The stretch from base 2 to 87 matches the Rfam family "Manganese Mn2+ riboswitch aptamer (yybP-ykoY)". From Rfam's summary of the family: This RNA was originally discovered in E. coli during a large scale screen and was named SraF. The family was later found to exist upstream of related families of protein genes in many bacteria, including the the yybP and ykoK genes in B. subtilis. Lineage: Bacteria; Bacillati; Bacillota; Bacilli; Lactobacillales; Streptococcaceae. The record is from RNAcentral.
GAAAGGGGAGUAGCGUCGGGAAACCGAAACAAAGUCGACAUACUGUGAGGAAACUCACCGGCUUUGUUGACAUACGAAAGUAUGUUUAGCAAGACCUUUCC